Molecule: ribosomal RNA, 242 nt
Filed under: uncultured bacterium
Lineage: Bacteria
Description: partial 16S ribosomal RNA
Rfam family: Bacterial small subunit ribosomal RNA
Source: RNAcentral
AAUCGGGAGUGGCAGACGGGUGAGUAACACGUGGGAACAUACCCUUCGGUUCGGAACAACGCCGGGAAACUGGCGCUAAUACCGGAUACGCCGGCAUCGUGAGGUGCUGGGAAAGGCUUUGCUGCCGGAGGAUUGGCCCGCGUUCGAUUAGCUAGAUGGUGCGGGUAACGGCCCACCAUGGCGACGAUCGAUAGCUGGUCUGAGAGGAUGGCCAGCCACAUUGGGACUGAGACACGGCCCAA